Molecule: ribosomal RNA, 252 nt
Filed under: uncultured bacterium
Lineage: Bacteria
Description: partial 16S ribosomal RNA
Rfam family: Bacterial small subunit ribosomal RNA
Source: RNAcentral
UACGUAGGUCGCAAGCGUUAUCCGGACUUAUUGGGCGUAAAGCGCGUGUAGGCGGUUUAGUAAGUCUGAUGUGAAAAUGCGGGGCUCAACCCCGUAUUGCGUUGGAAACUGCUAAACUAGAGUACUGGAGAGGUAGGCGGAAUUACAAGUGUAGAGGUGAAAUUCGUAGAUAUUUGUAGGAAUGCCGAUGGGGAAGGCAGCCUACUGGGCAGAUACUGACGCUGAAGCGCGAAAGCGUGGGGAGCAAACAGG